RNAcentral lists this ribosomal RNA (253 nucleotides) under uncultured bacterium. Its description in RNAcentral is "partial 16S ribosomal RNA". It matches the Rfam family "Bacterial small subunit ribosomal RNA", at positions 524 to 776 of the family's 1533-position model. The record is from RNAcentral.
UACGGAGGGUGCGAGCGUUGUCCGGAAUCAUUGGGCGUAAAGAGCGUGUAGGCGGCUUGGUAAGUCGGAUGUGAAAUCCCGAGGCUCAACCUCGGGUCUGCAUCCGAUACUGCCCGGCUAGAGGUAGGUAGGGGAGAUCGGAAUUCCUGGUGUAGCGGUGAAAUGCGCAGAUAUCAGGAGGAACACCGGUGGCGAAGGCGGAUCUCUGGGCCUUACCUGACGCUCAGGCGCGAAAGCUAGGGGAGCAAACGGG